CCUGACCUGUCUUUUUUUUUUUUUUUUCCCUGUGCAUGUUAUUUGCACCUUAAAUAAUCAAUAUAACUACUGAAAUAAGACAAAAACUUAUUUUGUAUCUGAAAAUGCUUCUCUUACCUUGCAGUUAAAUGUGAAAGAUCAGACUUUCUGAAGUGUAAGCUUAGAUGUAAACUUCAGCUCUAACAGUUUGCAAAUUAGUAAGAGAUUUCAGGAGUAUAGACAGUUGUUCUUUACUAUUGUUAGGUUGAAGUGUUCUUAGGAAAUAAGUAGUUUCAUUGUAGGUGUGUUGUAAUCCUUCAUUUUCAGGCACUACAGUAAUGAACACUGUAGAAAUGUUACUGAGUGUGUUAAAAAGAACCUUGGUUAAUAGUACAGGCAGUGUCGCUUUUUGGCUGUAUAAGCACUUCCAUUCUAUAGCAGUGUCAACUAUCUUUUGAACUAGAACUUCCUAUAUUUAGCCUCUUACCAGUUCAGUUCUUCUAGAAGCUUGAACAAAACCAGUUGUUAUCUUUUUAAAUACAACUCUUUUAAAACAAGUUUCAUAAUGUGAUGGCAGGUGGGCAGAAGCUUGUACCAUGGCGGGGGGAGGUUUACUCAUUUGCAAAUGAUGCUUUUUCAAAGGCAUUUAUAUUUGUCUGCAGAUGCUGGGAGGGGGGAGGUAACUGAAAAACUGGCAUUUCUGUAUUUUUAAUUAAAUACAGUUCUGCUAUCCUUUUUAGGCAAAGCAUGCAAUUCUAGAAUAAAGUCCCUGGUGUAAUUAGUAGCAUCUUUGAAAAUUUAUGUUGAAAAGAAGUUAACGUUGUUUUUCCACAGUAUCCAACCCUGCUGGAUGACAACAUCUUUCAGGCCUUGCUGACUAAAGCAUAUAGGAUAAUAGAAUGGAAUCAUAGAUAUGAAAUACACAUGUGUAUUUAAGGGGUUUGGGUUUUGUGG
Long non-coding RNA from Strigops habroptila (Kakapo), 933 nucleotides. RefSeq lists it as uncharacterized. The record is from RefSeq and is a predicted model, not a curated record. The transcript is spliced from 3 exons. Lineage: Eukaryota; Metazoa; Chordata; Aves; Psittaciformes; Psittacidae.